Cryptotermes secundus is the source of this 104-nucleotide small nuclear RNA. The record is from RefSeq and is a predicted model, not a curated record. NCBI's taxonomy places the organism in Eukaryota, Metazoa, Arthropoda, Insecta, Blattodea, Kalotermitidae.
UUACUUUCAAUGUAUAUAUACUAAAACUGGAACAAUACAGAGAAGAUUAGCAUGGCCCCUGCGCUAGCUUGAUCACUGGUCUAAAAUAAGAGUCAUGUUUUGUU